This 279-nucleotide ribosomal RNA is filed under the name uncultured bacterium. Its description in RNAcentral is "partial 16S ribosomal RNA". It matches the Rfam family "Bacterial small subunit ribosomal RNA", at positions 506 to 784 of the family's 1533-position model. The record is from RNAcentral.
UGCCAGCCGCCGCGGUAAUACAGAGGGUGCAAACGUUGUUCGGAAUUACUGGGCGUAAAGCGCGUGUAGGCGGCUGUGAAAGUCGGAUGUGAAAGCCCAUGGCUCAACCAUGGAAGUGCAUCCGAAACUUCAUAGCUAGAGUCUCGGAGAGGAAGGUGGAAUGCUUGGUGUAGAGGUGAAAUUCGUAGAUAUCAAGCGGAACACCGGUGGCGAAGGCGGCCUUCUGGACGAUGACUGACGCUGAGACGCGAAAGCGUGGGUAGCAAACAGGAUUAGAUA